AUAAACAAUUUAUACAGUGAAACUGCGAACGGCUCAUUAAAUCAGUCAUAGUUUAUUUGAUAUUGACUUGCUACAUGGAUAACCGUGGUAAUUCUAGAGCUAAUACGUGCGGAAAGGGCCGACUGGGGAGGGGCAACCCUCUUCGGAUAGGUCCGUAUUUAUUAGAUACAAAACCGAUACGGGGCAUCCCAAACCGGCGGAGAGAAAAGGGUUUUUCCCUUCGGGGUUGGCCUUUUUUCUUUCCGUCGGGUCCCGGCCAUCUUUCGGUGAUUCAUGAUAACUUUGCGAAUCGCAGCGGCCUCGAGCCGGCGAUGAUUCAUUCGAAUUUCUGCCCUAUCAACUUUCGAUGGUAAGAUAGAGGCUUACCAUGGUGAUAACGGGUGACGGAGAAUUAGGGUUCGAUUCCGGAGAGGGAGCCUGAGAAACGGCUACCACUUCUAAGGAAGGCAGCAGGCGCGCAAAUUACCCAAUCCCGACGCGGGGAGGUAGUGACAAUAAAUACCGAUACGGGCCUCCGUUCGAGGCUCGUAAUCGGAAUGAGAACAAUUCAAACCCCUUAACGAGGAACAAUUGGAGGGCAAGUCUGGUGCCAGCAGCAAU
Molecule: ribosomal RNA, 600 nt
Filed under: uncultured fungus
Lineage: Eukaryota; Fungi
Description: bacterial SSU rRNA
Rfam family: Eukaryotic small subunit ribosomal RNA
Source: RNAcentral